Molecule: transfer RNA, 70 nt
Filed under: Saccostrea cuccullata (small rock oyster)
Lineage: Eukaryota; Metazoa; Mollusca; Bivalvia; Ostreida; Ostreidae
Also listed under: 1 other name
Description: Saccostrea cucullata (small rock oyster) tRNA-Ser
Source: RNAcentral
AGGGGGAUAAGUGGCCUUACACUGCGACUUCUAAUCGCAAUUGGCGCAAUUCGAUUUUGUGCUCCUUCUU